CCUACGGGCGGCAGCAGUGAGGAAUAUUGGUCAAUGGCCGAGAGGCUGAACCAGCCAAGUAGCGUGAGGGAUGACUGCCCUAUGGGUUGUAAACUUCUUUUAUAAAGGAGUAAAACGCGGCACGUGUGCCUUUUUGCAUGUACUUUAUGAAUAAGGAUCGGCUAACUCCGUGCCAGCAGCCGCGGUAAUACGGAGGAUGCGAGCGUUAUCCGGAUUUAUUGGGUUUAAAGGGAGCGUAGAUGGGUUGUUAAGUCAGUGGUGAAAGUUUGUGGCUCAACCGUAAAAUUGCAAUUGAUACUGGCAGUCUUGAGUACAGUUGAGGUAGGCGGAAUGCGUGGUGUAGCGGUGAAAUGCAUAGAUAUCACGAAGAACCCCGAUUGCGAAGGCAGCUUACUAAACUGUGACUGACACUGAUGCACGAAAGUGUGGGUAUCAAACAGGAUUAGAUACCCUUGUAGUC
RNAcentral lists this ribosomal RNA (460 nucleotides) under uncultured bacterium. RNAcentral describes it as "partial 16S ribosomal RNA". It matches the Rfam family "Bacterial small subunit ribosomal RNA", at positions 338 to 795 of the family's 1533-position model. The record is from RNAcentral.